NNNNNNNNNNNNNNNNNNNNNAUAUAUAGGGCUUACACAGACUUCGCAGGACAGGCUUGGUUACAAUACGAUCAGGCAUUCCACAUGAGGAGUGCCAUCCAACCAAACCUGCGGUGGGAUGAACCACAGCCAGGGCUCUGGCUGCAGCAUAUGGCCCCUUCUAGGCCCAACACUGGGGACCGUUUUGAUAGUGGGCAUCUUAAUAGGAGAGCAUUUGGCCCACAAGCUACCCGCACAGGCGCGGGGCAGGUGGUUCAACCCCGCCUGCCUUGCUUUCAAUUUAACGCCAGGGGCUUCUGUAACAAGAAGCCCUGUAAGUUCAGGCACGAGUGUCUCACAUGCAGGGGGCAACAUGCAAACUCCUCCUGCUUUAGGGCGGGGGCCCAGAGACAGAACAGGAACACAGGGGGCCCCAGGAAGCCUAACAACGGCAGUGGAAGCAAUGGGAAAAGGGCCCAGCCCAAUUAAAGUGCAGGUCUUGGAGGAGUGGCUGAGGCUUUACCCUCGCCAGGAAGAUGCUAAAUAUUUAUUGGAGGGUUUUAAAUAUGGGUUUAGGAUACCGGCAAAAGGGGAACGCAAGGCUUUCAGGGCACGGAACCUCCAAUCAGUGCUAGGCAUGGAAGACAUAGUACAACAAAAAAUUGACAAGGAAGUAAAGGAGGGCAGGGUCCUCGGUCCCUUCUCAACACCGCCUCUGGAGAACCUUAGGGUUUCGCCACUAGGUAUAGUGCCCAAGAAGGCCCCAGGGGAAUUCCGGUUAAUUCACCACCUGUCCUUCCCGGAGGGGGCAUCGGUGAACGAUGCCAUUCCACAGGAGUUGUGCACAGUCAGGUACACCUCCUUCGACGAUGCAGUGAGAAUGAUCAGGAAAUGUGGCGUCGGGGCUGAACUGGCAAAAUGUGACAUCAAAUCAGCCUUCAGGCUGCUGCCAGUUCACCCUCAGGACUUCAACUUGCUAGGCUUCCAUUUUGGCGGCGCAUUUUUUGUGGACAGGGCCCUACCCAUGGGAUGCUCAGUGUCAUGUGCCGCAUUUGAGAAGUUCAGCACUUUUAUUGAGUGGAGGCUUAGGCGCAUGGUGAGAAGCAAUUCAACAACGCAUUACCUCGAUGACUUUCUUUUCUGUGGAAAGGGAGGCACAGGCAGAUGCGGUGUCAUACUCCAUACAUUCCAGGCAUUAGCCAAAGAAUUAGGGUUGCCCCUGGCGGAGGAUAAGACAGAGGGUCCAGCGACAUCUUUAACCUUCCUGGGUAUAGAGCUUGAUACGGUGCGGCAAACAUCGAGGUUACCCCGGGACAAGUUGACUGACCUGAGGGCCCGAGUUCAAGCUCUAUUGCAGAAAAGGAAAGCUACCCUUAGAGAC
Molecule: long non-coding RNA, 1360 nt
Filed under: Pogona vitticeps (central bearded dragon)
Lineage: Eukaryota; Metazoa; Chordata; Lepidosauria; Squamata; Agamidae
Description: lncRNA (ENSPVIG00000004860.1)
Source: RNAcentral